AAAAACUUCUCAUGAUAUACCACUGGGAACCUAAAAGCCAGUGAUCACACAUACAAACAUUCCAAGGGAAAAUGCGUAAACUCACAACUCAAACAAAUUACUAACAGGACCAUGUAUGAUUUUGCAGCUUAGAAUCUACAUAAAACAGAACAGUGCAGGUAACCUCUAUCUAAAUCUCACUACUAACUUUAUUCAAACAUUUAUUCCUAGAUCAUCCGUACUCCUUCUAUGUACAAAUCAUGCAAUAUCUCUGUCUAAAUCAAUGCCAAUGCAUGCACAUGCACAAGUCUGAACUAAACAACAUAUAUAAUAUAGCAUAAUUAUAUGAUCUAAAAUAGAUGCAUGAUCAGGGGAGGAAGAUGGUGAAGCCAAAGAUGAGCAACUGAGAUUGGAUAAACGACGACCGGCGAGCAGCAGCCCAUAGUGAUGGCCGGCUCCAUUCGACCAUGACGCGAACAACGCCGGAGCUCCGGCCUAGCUGCUCCUUCCCCAUGCCCGUCCUACUCAUCCCCCGUGCUUCUCCACACCAAGCAUGAAGACCACACCAGCCAGGCUCUCUUAUGGCGAUGACCUGCGCCCAAUCCAGAAUCAUGAUAUGUGGCGGCGCCGGAUCGAGAACACGGGGAGACGCUGUCCUGUGGGGAAGAGAAAGAGGAUAGCAUGGUAUAAAAUAAAGUAGUCAUUUUUCAUGUAGUGAAACUUUAGUUUUGGGCAAGAUGAUCAAAAAUAAUAAUAUAACUAAUGCAACAGGAGAACCACAUAUGGAGGCACUCAAGUGGACAGACACAACAGUUCAAACAAACCCAAAAAUAUCUCAUUGUUCACCUUAAACCUUCGGAGGUUUAAACUACUAGUUGAACUGAAAGGCACCGUUGCUCGGUGACAAAAAAAUCAGUACGCUCUGCAGUAAUUUGAUAUGAUAAAAACCAGUUGGAUAAAGACCAAAUAAAGUUAUUACCUAGCGAAGUUAGGGCUGCCAUAAAAAUCUGAACAGUUCCAUAAGUUGUCUCUUGAUAUUAUAUGAUUCAUAAAGGAACAUGACACAUGAUUGUGCAAAAAUGACUAUUGAUUCAGUGCCACACUACAGGAAAGGGGAUAUCGGUAGUCAUUAGAAUACACAGACUGAUAGAAAUUAUGUACCUGAUAUUACUUACUACUUCUCUCAUCUAGCUGCAGCUGGUUUAGCAAAGAGAACCCAAUACCCAAAAUCAUGAAAUGGAUGUUCUCUUGGUUAGUAUACAAGACUGCUAAUUAUCUCUGUUGCCUCACCACAGAGCAUCCAAGCAAAGGGCCAUGGAGCACCUCACAACAAAAGGAACCUGAAACCUACAAACAGAGCAAUGAUUUUUCUUGUAACAUGAACCACCAAAUUAACUACACUCGGCUGCACAGCAUGCGAUCGCCACCAUAGAAAGGCUACCCUACUACUUAACUCUCUCCACAAACUACAAAAAAGCAAGAAAAUCAACCCAAACAACAUUGUAGGAACGAUAUAGACAAGACAAAAGAAUCUCAACUUGUUCGCUCUUUUUUAGUUGAAUAACUCCUUCCAGAGUAAAUGGUCAAGCUGGCCGCAAGAAAGAAACACACAAAAGCCCGAGAAUAGUGCACCAACAAGAAGGGAAAAAAUCUACACAUGGACAAACUGACAGGGUUUGUGCUUCAGGAACCGAAAGAUUUGGGGAGAGAGAGAAGCAUACCUAAUAGAACUUCACAAGCAUGUCAACCCCUUGUUUAAUUAUUCUCCAAUUUCAGCCCUAGCAUUGAAGGAAGCCCAACCCUCCCAUGAACAGACUUUAGAGUGAAGCUCAUUGAUGAUGGCACUGUUAGCAGUCAGAAACUGUAUAAGCGAGGCUAUUCCGCCUUCUUGGCCCUCUCAAAUGGUCUAAAAACCCGAGAAUAGUGCACCAACAAGAAGGAAAAAAAUCUACGUAUGGACAAACUGACAGGGUUUGUGCUUCAGGAACCGAAAGAUUUCGGGAGAGAGAGAAGCAUACCUAAUAGAACUUCACAAGCAUGUCAACCCCUUGUUUAUUCUCCAAUUUCAUCCCUAGCAUUGAAGGAAGCCCAACCCUCCCAUGAACAGACUUUAGAGUGAAGCUCAUUGAUGAUGGCACUGUUAGCAGUCAGAAACUGUAUCAGCGAGGCUAUUCCGCCUUCUUGGCCCUCUUAAAUAGCGUGUACAUACCUGUUUUAGAGUCAAGAGAAAAAAUGAUAUCAAGUGAGCAUAUCUAAAAUCCAUCAUAAUACAUAUAAAGAAUGUGUUACAUCUGAAAUAAAAUGGAACAUGCAAAUUAGAUAGUUACUUAUAAGUGAAAUACAUAAUUAUUGGUCAUCAACAAACAAUCAAGCACAUAAUUAUUAAUUGGUAAUUAUUAAUAAUAUUUAACGAUCACCUAGGAUAUUGGCCCUUCCCGAGAACAAAGAAAUUUUUACCUUGACACUAAAGUGACCUAAUUCAAAUUCAUUUCAGAGGGGAAAAGCUAUAGUGGAAGCAACAAUCCUAUAGAGAAAUAACAUCAAGAAAUGGUGCUACUGAAUUAGGGUAGAAAAGAUAAAAAUAUAAAUAACAAAAAAGCGAUAUCAGAUAUAUUUUAUGUGCCCUGCACAAGGUAUGUACUAAUUAAUUAAAGCAUGGUAUUUCUCAAUCUCAUGUCAGGUACCAAAUAUUAGUCCUACAACGUGAAGCUGCAAAGCUGAGACGCAAGAACAUAUUCCUGAAUCUAAUCAGCAUGCCUUGCUGUUGGAAGAAAUUUAUAUCCUGAUUGCUCACAUUCACACAUCCAUCAUCGAAUCCUGUAGAGCCUACCGAGUACAUAUUAAGAUGCAGUUAGAAGCAAACUAAUAAAAGUACAUCCAGACAAGAAAUUGAUGAUAUAUCUUGUAACAAAAGCAAAAAAAGUACAGCCGAUUUCAAGCCACGUGUAAACAUGAGGUUGUGCUACAUACACAUGGAUAUAAUCAUCACAUAAACAAUCAGAACAAGAACAUAUCUGUAGCAAUAAAAUGGCAACUAACAUGACUUUGUGCCACCUAUAAUAAAGCUGAGUAAAAGUUCCAACCAUUAGCUAGUUGCAUAAUCUAUAAGAGUUUGGAGUACAUAUGACGAUUCAAAGAGAUACGGUAACUCUGUAAUAACAACAUGCCGGCGAAAGCUGAACCCAACAAGAACAAUCCCUGAAAAGCUAAAACUAUUGUGCAUCUCUACUUUUCUUUGAUUCUUUUACGUCGUCUUCCAGAUUUUACUAUGAUUGAGGUGUGUGUAAAUUUGAUCAGUCAUACAGAACCAAAGCAAUGUAGGUGCUCUUAAUACUCAAAUAAGAAUAAACUGGAGAGGUAGCUCAUGGUAUUCAUUUUAGGUAUUAUUAAGAAAUAAGCUUUUGAGAAUGUGUAAUGAAUAUAAAGAUGGUGAGGGCUUCAAGAAACAUAAUGAACAUUAGAACGGGAAGGUGCCAUUUUCAUUGACAUGCCGAAAGAAAUGUUGUGAGCAAUUCCAAAAUGCUAAAUCAGAUAGACAUGUAUCACCUACUUGCUGAUGACGUCUACUUUUGAGCUCUGAUGUAAGCAUGGCAAAACAGCCCAUAGUCAAGACUGGAACCAAUGUAUUUUAAAGAAAUUCAGUACGGGGGUGAAUAACAAAUAUGUAAUGUGAAGAACUAUUGAACUCGAGCUCCGCUAGCAUACAAAGAAACUCACAGCAAAAAACAUGCACCAUGCAACCUGUGGAAUCAAAUAUGAACUGAACAAUGUGUAUUUACUCACAUGCUCUACACGGUAACCAUAUAUGCCUUUUUUCCAGUUUGCUGGCCUAAGCUUAAUUUUAUGUCUGAUCAGAGUGUAUAGGGAGUUGAGAUAUGAAUGUUAAGCUGGUUUUCCUGUAGACAUAGGCGUGUGUAUCUCAACUAUUUUGAUUACUUAGCUGUACACAUAGGCAUGUCUAUCUCUGCUAUUCUCAGGACAGGGUAAAUACUACCCAAACAAAGUAGAGAAAAGAGAAAGUACAUAGAAAAGUUGAGAAUGCUUCUGCAAAUACUAAACAACAUACAUAAUUAGUAAGUAGUAACAUCACAUUCCUUAAUAAAGAUAAAUGGAUGGCAAAGAUGAUGGCACUAAUUACUUUAUACGUCGAGCAGCCCUAUCAUGGAAAGGUGAAUCCGCCUUCGACAGCAAGGAUGUCACAGACAGACACGCAAAGCCUGAGAUUCGCAACCAC
This 4213-nucleotide long non-coding RNA is filed under the name Triticum aestivum (bread wheat). RNAcentral describes it as "long non-coding RNA (TAES_LNC010099)". The record is from RNAcentral. Lineage: Eukaryota; Viridiplantae; Streptophyta; Magnoliopsida; Poales; Poaceae.